RNAcentral lists this non-coding RNA (90 nucleotides) under Pseudomonas baetica. The record is from RNAcentral. Lineage: Bacteria; Pseudomonadati; Pseudomonadota; Gammaproteobacteria; Pseudomonadales; Pseudomonadaceae.
UGUGGGAGCUGGCUUGCCAGCGAUGAGGCCGUCACGCUCGGCAUCAAGGGUGUCUGACCCAAUGCCAUCGCUGGCAAGCCAGCUCCCACA